This 497-nucleotide long non-coding RNA is filed under the name Arabidopsis lyrata. RNAcentral's name for it is "long non-coding RNA (ALYR_LNC001314)". Lineage: Eukaryota; Viridiplantae; Streptophyta; Magnoliopsida; Brassicales; Brassicaceae. The record is from RNAcentral.
AUUUUGAACUUGGUUCUUCAUGUUCUGCAUCAAUCGUUGUUCUUUGAACUUAUGUGAGCGAUAUGGAUCCUGGAAGUUAAUUUUGUUUUGUAAAAAUUCUCGUUGCUUUCAUGAUGAUGACACUAUGAACUCUCUCUGUGAAGAUUCAGCCAGAUGUUUUCCAUGUCGCUUUUAGUGAUGCUCUGAUUAUGAUAGACGUUUUUUGCCCUUCCUCCAUUGUCUCUCCUUGUGUAAAUACGUUUGUAAUAGGUCAUUAGGUGUAGGUUAGCUCUUCUGCUUUUGCAUUCUUCUUUUAGUUUUCUGAAUCUUUGAUUUAAGCUAGUCACUUUGGCUCUUUGUUAUGUGUUUCUUUCUUUUUCUUCUGUGUUAUUCUUCUUAUUGGCAUUGUUAGUCUUUUUAUGAGUGAACUCUAUUUGUAUUCUUGAUUUGUUUUCUUUCUUGUUUUGUUAGCUUCACCUUGUUGUGUACUGGUUUGAGAAGCUUUGUUAUUGCUUUCA